GGCGUCUCUCUCUGUUCAAGUGUUCCUGGUAUGUGAUGAUCCAGUCUAGAGUCUGAAUCUCCUCCUCCUGACUUCAGAGGAGCUUCAUGACAGAGAACACUUUGGUUCCAGCUGAGACCGUCAGACUGAACACAACUCACUAAACUGUAUUCAUACUGAUCCUUCAGUUACAGUAUCUUCCCUAUGAGGCAUGGACAAACUCAUUGCUGUUCUGCUUUUGUCUUCUGUCAUGGGUGUGAGCUGUGAAGAUCUCACUGCAGAGAGGAAAGAAGAGUCCGCUUUAGAGAACAGCUCUGUUACUCUGUCCUUCAGAUACUAUAAGACGUUUUCUGCUGGGGAUGAAUUUUACUGGUACAGACAAUACUCAGGAGAACCACCAGAGUUUCUUUACUAUAUCUCAGGAGGUAAUUAUUCAAGACCAGCAGAAUCUCUACAACCAGACUCUAAGGUCUCUACAAAGCUGUCUGAAGGAAACCAUCUGGAUCUCCAGAUCUCCUCUGCUGCACUGAGUGACUCUGCUGUGUACUACUGUGCUGUGAGGCCCACAGUGACAGGAAACACCAACACUCUGUACAAAAACCUUUGGAGCAAACACAACACAAUACUCCACAACAUCCACUAGAGGGAGACAUCAUCAAGCAGGUGUUGCUCUUCCUCUGUGUUCAACC
Notolabrus celidotus (New Zealand spotty) is the source of this 668-nucleotide non-coding RNA. The record is from the annotation of a RefSeq genome assembly. Lineage: Eukaryota; Metazoa; Chordata; Actinopteri; Labriformes; Labridae.